Molecule: long non-coding RNA, 485 nt
Filed under: Rattus norvegicus (Norway rat)
Lineage: Eukaryota; Metazoa; Chordata; Mammalia; Rodentia; Muridae
Description: long non-coding RNA NONRATT022336
Source: RNAcentral
GCCUGGCAUUCAUUGUUUAAAUGAAAUAAAUAAGCUGUGGCUAAGCAAGGCCUACAGUCCUUUAAUUCCUGUACUGGAAAAGCAGAGGCAGAUGUAUCUCAGUGAGUUGGAGGCCAGCCUGAUCUACUUAGCAAGCUCUAGGACAUCCAGUACCUGUCUUGGAAAAACAAACAAAAACUUUCAUUUAAAUGUGGGCUCAUGUCAUAUGUGCUGUUGCAGUUCCAGAAGUUCGAUUCACUAAUGUCCCAGAAAGGACACAAAUAGAUGUAGACAGAAUACCUUUACAGAGGUUAAAAUUGAAAUGCAUAUUCUGUAGACAGCGGGUUAAAAGGGUUUCUGGAGCCUGCAUCCAGUGUUCCUAUGGCCGCUGCCCAGCCUCUUUCCAUGUUACAUGUGCCCAUGCUGCUGGAGUACUCAUGGAGCCUGAUGACUGGCCUUAUGUGGUAAACAUCACUUGCUUCCGACAUAGAGUCAAUUCAAACGUG